RNAcentral lists this long non-coding RNA (217 nucleotides) under Elaeis guineensis (African oil palm). RNAcentral describes it as "long non-coding RNA (EGUI_LNC058671)". Lineage: Eukaryota; Viridiplantae; Streptophyta; Magnoliopsida; Arecales; Arecaceae. The record is from RNAcentral.
UGGGCUUCUCCAAAUCGAAAUUCAGAUAAACAUUUAGGGCUCUACUGGACUGAAAUCCGGAUAAACAUUUAUGCCCUUCGGAGCUCUAUCGGAUUCAAAUUCAGAUAAACAUUUAUGCCCUUUAGGGCUCUACUGAACUGAAAUUUGGAUAAACAUUCAUGCCCUUCGGAGCUCUAUCAGAUUGAAAUCCGGAUAAACAUUCAUGUCCUUCAGGACU